GACCACGCUCCCCGAGCUUCCCCCCACGCUGCAAUCUCAGCCCAGCGCUGGUUUGGGGCUGAAGCCAUCCCGACGAAGAGCUGCUGGCCAAAUUGAACACCGCCGAGCACCGCUGCGCUGCUCCCCUCCUCACCUCAAAGGCUUGGUUCCCCCCCCCCCACCCCGUGUCCGUGCUGAUGCACGCACCACAGCAUCCGAAUUUUCGGCUGGGCUGACCCAGGCGUGCCGUGGGGGUUUGUGCCCCUUUUGCCAUCGGAAGCAUCGCUGUGGGUCUUUGGGGAGCUCGUGUCAAAUAACUGGCAUCGCUUCACACAAAAGGCAGCAACCGACCCAAACGAAUGCCCUGAAUCUGGCACCUCCCAUGAAUGCAGGCGAGCUGGCAGAGAGCCCGUGAAAGAGGUACUGACUUUGCAAGCCCAUGCCUGUUGUAGCAUAAUAAGGUCAUUGUCAAGAAGACGCGGCACCAGGAGGCUGAUCUUGAGCAAAACAUGGCCCCAGUUGUGCGUUGUGCAACCCCUGUGACUGCUCCAACAGUGGCCCCAUUGUUUCCCAUUGUGAGGCCGCGGCGGCUCGUUAUCCAAUGCAGAGCUGGCUCACGCUGGGCUGGUGCAGACAUCCCUCCAUAGCGCAUCGUUGCUGGGUGUCAGAAGGAUGGGGUGUGCUGAAUUAGCUGCCUCCCGAAUGGCACAACGCGAUGUUCUCGCUUCACACCACUCAUGUGAGCUCUUGGUUGAAUAGAAUUCCUUCCUACCAGUUGCUUUCUCUCGUAGAGCAGCUCAACGUGGAAAGGCUUUGGGAGGGAGAACCAUUCGGAGCAGGAAAUCAGGCAUCUGGAAUGUUCAUCUCCAACCAUACCCUGACCUUCCAUGGCUCCCACGUUGGAGAAGAGGAACUGCUGCCCCAGGUGAGAUGCAGGGCGUGGGGCAUCGCGUGGGUUGCGCUGAUACGGUGCCAAUGGGACGCAAAGCCACUGCUGAAACUGCUGCCCAAGAGGAGGCGAUGGCAAAGAAGGGAAAGAAAUGGAUUGCCCUGAGAAGAGGGGAAGCAAAGACACCAAGUCUUCCUGCUGCAAGUAUGAGGUUGGCGUCCACAGGAAGACAUACAUACCCACAUGAGCCACUGUGGGAGAGCUCGGUUGGAUUCCACCCAGGAGACAAAUGGAAACCAGUGGGCAAGCGAGGCACGCAGCAGCAGAAAGAAUAAGAAAGCAACAGGCCCCUUAAAAACAUACUUAAUCGUUUUCAAACUUUAUUUCAUGGUGAUUGACGAAAGACACAAGUUAGUAAUGGUUACAUCAUGCUGCUCCUCUACUGUGCAUUGCCCUUCAGAAUUCAUACAGCAGUUCACAACGGUCAUUAAUUUACCCUAUAAAUGAAGCCACAUGGAUAUUAUUAAAAAAAAAAAAAAAAAAAAAAA
Gallus gallus (chicken) is the source of this 1416-nucleotide long non-coding RNA. RefSeq lists it as uncharacterized. NCBI's taxonomy places the organism in Eukaryota, Metazoa, Chordata, Aves, Galliformes, Phasianidae. The transcript is spliced from 2 exons. The record is from RefSeq and is a predicted model, not a curated record.